Molecule: unclassified non-coding RNA, 345 nt
Filed under: Septobasidium michelianum
Lineage: Eukaryota; Fungi; Basidiomycota; Pucciniomycetes; Septobasidiales; Septobasidiaceae
Description: partial contains 5.8S ribosomal RNA, internal transcribed spacer 2, and large subunit ribosomal RNA
Source: RNAcentral
CGCACCUUGCACCCUUUGGCAUUCCGAAGGGUACAUCUGUUUGAGUGUCAUGAAUCCCUCAACCUCUACAUUUUAGUGGGAGUGUUUUUACAUUUUCCAGUGUACAUUGUCAUGUAAAGUGUAGAAUGUUGGAUCUUGAGCGUUGCUGUGUACAACCUUACACAGCUCGCUUCAAAUGUAUCAGCAAUCUUUGAUAGUGAUCGGAUUGACCCAACGUGAUAAGAUCUUCGUUGGGGAUGCUCUAGCUAGCAGCCGGCCGCUAUACAAAAUGCUUCAAGACCUUGCGCAUUCGCCACCCCCUUACAUUUAGACCUCAAAUCAGAUGGGACUACCCGCUGAACUUAA